UUUUAGAAAUUAAUUUGAAGUCUAACCUGCCCACUGAAUAAUUUUAAAUGGCCGCAGUAUCCUAACUGUGCAAAGGUAGCAUAAUCAUUAGUCUUUUAAUUGAAGGCUGGAAUGAAUGGUUGGAUGAAAUAUUAACUGUUUCAUAUAAAUUUAUAAUAGAAUUUUAUUUUUUAGUCAAAAAGCUAAAAUAAAAUUAAAAGACGAGAAGACCCUAUAAAUCUUUAUAUUUAAAUAAUUUUAAUUAUUUAGAUAAAUUAAAUUAUAAUUAUUUUAAAUAUUUUAUUGGGGUGAUAUUAAAAUUUAAUAAACUUUUAAUUUAUAAUAAACAUAAAUUAAUGAAUUAUUGAUCCAUUUAUUAUGAUUAUAAAAUUAAGUUACUUUAGGGAUAACAGCGUAAUUUUUUUAGAGAGUUCAUAUUGAUAAAAAAGAUUGCGACCUCGAUGUUGGAUUAAGAUAUAAUUUUAGGUGCAGUAGCUUAAAUUUAAAGUCUGUUCGACUUUUAAAUUCUUACA
RNAcentral lists this ribosomal RNA (512 nucleotides) under Megaselia sanguinea. RNAcentral's name for it is "partial 16S ribosomal RNA". The stretch from base 385 to 512 matches the Rfam family "Archaeal large subunit ribosomal RNA", at positions 2542 to 2669 of the family's 2987-position model. The record is from RNAcentral. Lineage: Eukaryota; Metazoa; Arthropoda; Insecta; Diptera; Phoridae.